RNAcentral lists this transfer RNA (110 nucleotides) under Plectosphaerella plurivora. Its description in RNAcentral is "Plectosporium sp. AC-2010b tRNA". It matches the Rfam family "tRNA". Rfam says of the family: Transfer RNA (tRNA) molecules are approximately 80 nucleotides in length. Their secondary structure includes four short double-helical elements and three loops (D, anti-codon, and T loops). Further hydrogen bonds mediate the characteristic L-shaped molecular structure. tRNAs have two regions of fundamental functional importance: the anti-codon, which is responsible for specific mRNA codon recognition, and the 3' end, to which the tRNAs corresponding amino acid is attached (by aminoacyl-tRNA synthetases). tRNAs cope with the degeneracy of the genetic code in two manners: having more than one tRNA (with a specific anti-codon) for a particular amino acid; and 'wobble' base-pairing, i.e. permitting non-standard base-pairing at the 3rd anti-codon position. The record is from Rfam by way of RNAcentral. Lineage: Eukaryota; Fungi; Ascomycota; Sordariomycetes; Glomerellales; Plectosphaerellaceae.
GGCGAGAUGGCCGAGUGGUCUAAGGCGCUAGUUUCAGGAUGUUGGUUCUUCGGAACCACCAACCUCAUUACUAGUCUUCACAGGCGUGGGUUCGAAUCCCACUCUCGUCA